UCAGACGAUGCGUCAUGCAUAUCAAUAAGCGGAGGAAAAGAAACUAACAAGGAUUCCCUCAGUAACGGCGAGUGAAGCGGGAAGAGCUCAAAUUUGAAAUCUUGAAAGGUCACCUUUCACGAAUUGUAGUUUAAAGAAGUGUUUUCUGUUACGAUCGUAAUAUAAGUUCUUUGGAAUAGGACAUCACAGAGGGUGAGAAUCCCGUCUAUGAUUGCGAUUUGUAGCUUUGUGAUACACUUUCAAAGAGUCGGGUUGUUUGGGAAUGCAGCCCAAAACGGGAGGUAAAUUUCUUCUAAGGCUAAAUAUUGGCGAGAGACCGAUAGCGGACAAGUACCGUGAGGGAAAGAUGAAAAGAACUUUGAAAAGAGAGUUAAAUAGUACGUGAAAUUGUCAAAAGGGAAGCGUUUAACACCAGUGUUGUUUUCUGAAAAUCAACCUCUGUUAGCUAUAUGCAUGUUUGUUUAGACCUAAUCAGCUAUCUUGCAUGUUCUAUUGUUUGCAGUGGUGCACUUUUCAGUUUACAGGUCAACAUCAGUUUUUUUUACCGUAAAAAAGUUAAAGAAAGGUAGCUCAUGGCUCCGGUCGUGAGUGUUAUAGUCUUUUUCCUAUGCGGUAGGAGAGACUGAGGUCUGCAGUGUAGGCUAUUUGGCUAGAUACUCAGGUGCUAUGUGAUACCAUUUCAUAAACAACUUGUUGAUUAUGUUUUGUCUAUUGCAUACUCGCUUGUACUAUCAUACCUACGCUUAGGAUGUUGAAGACUCUACAGAGAUA
RNAcentral lists this ribosomal RNA (771 nucleotides) under uncultured Neocallimastigales. Its description in RNAcentral is "partial large subunit ribosomal RNA". It matches the Rfam family "Eukaryotic large subunit ribosomal RNA", at positions 18 to 640 of the family's 3401-position model. Lineage: Eukaryota; Fungi; Neocallimastigomycota; Neocallimastigomycetes; Neocallimastigales. The record is from RNAcentral.